Molecule: long non-coding RNA, 819 nt
Filed under: Mytilus galloprovincialis (Mediterranean mussel)
Lineage: Eukaryota; Metazoa; Mollusca; Bivalvia; Mytilida; Mytilidae
Source: RNAcentral
GGGGGAUAAUCAAAACUGCUUGUUUCUAAAAAUAUAUUCUAUUUGUGUUGUUGAUAUGUACAUAUGUACUUCGAUAAAUACAUGUUGUUUAAACUAUUCAUAACUGAAUUAUUCCUUAUAAAAGACGAUAAAAAUCAAUCAAUGAAAUUUAGCCAUUAUCCAAGCUCUUGUUAUUUGUUGUGUUUUGUAUUUUCUGUUACUGGGAUAAAAGAUAAACAGAACGUCCAUGGAAAUCUGACGAAGACCUUUACUUACUUGAAAAUCUCUAAAGGUUUGGGGGAUUUUCAAGAUUUAAAUAUUGAUUUACGUAAGUUGUAAAUAUUUUUUCAACGAAAGUUUCUUUUUUCUUCUUCUUCCUUUUGAACAAUUAUAAUAAGCCCGAUCGUAAAGUCGUCUUGUUUUCUUAAUAACGUUUUCGCUCCAUUUUAUUUUGUACAACAUGUAUUCAUAUGACAGUAGUGAAGCCUUGUUGACCCUUAAGAAGAAGAGUUACUUCAUCAUUGAAAUUAAACAAGAAACAUAAUAUAAAAAAGAAGAUGUGGUAUGAUUGCCAAUGAGACAACUAUCCAUAAAAGACCAAAAUGACACAGACAUUAACAACUAUAGGUCACCGUUCGGCCUUCAGCAAUGAGCAAAGCCCAUACCGCAUAGUCAGCUAUAAAUGGCCCCGAUAAAACAAUGUAAAACACGUUACAAAAACUGGCAUUAAAUUUCAAAUUUACCGAAAAAAAAUUGAUCCGUAUAAACUUGUUAUUUAAUCUAAAUUAAAUUUCAGUUAAAUCGUCUGAUAUUAGUAGUUUCGAUAAAAAAUAAACGUAU